GACUUAAAACUCCCUCCAAACACAAAAAUUUGGUCCUAAUUUUAAAAUCAAUUCCUUCUUGACUUACACAUGCAAGUCUCCUCAACCCUGUGAGUAUGCCCUCUCUCCCCAUCUGGGGCCAGGAGCCGGUAUAAGGCACCUUAAACCGCCCAAAACACCUAGCAACAGCCACACCCAUAAGGGACACAGCAGUGAUUAACAUUAGAUAUAAGUGCCAACUUGAUCUAGUUAAAGAAGCACAGGGCCGGCAAAAUUGGUGCCAGCCGCCGCGGUUACACCACAGGCCCAAACUGACUUUUAUCGGCGUAAAGCGUGAUUAAAGACAAUGACAAACUGGAGUUAAACCUAAACUAAGCAGUGACAUGCCUGUUUUAGAGAGACCCACAAACGAAAGUUGCUCUACCCCUUAACAACUUGAACCCACGAUAGCCAAGAUACAAACUAGGAUUAGAUACCCUACUAUGCUUAGCCUUAAACUUUAAAUUACUUCCCAUCGCCAAGGAACUACGAGCAAUGCUUAAAACCUAAAGGACUUGACGGUACCCCAUAUCCCCCUAGAGGAGCCUGUCCUAGAAUCGAUAACCCUCGUUAAACCUCACCACUUCUAGCCUCUCAGCCUGUAUACUUCCGUCCUAGCUUACCAUGUGAGUGAAUUAGUGAGCUCCACCGCCACAGCUAAUACAUCAGGUCAAAGUGCAGCAAAUAAAGUGGGAAGAGAUGGGCUACACUUUCUAUUUUAGAAUAAACGAAAAGUCAAUAUGCAAUCUGACUGGAAGGUGGAUUUAGUAGUAAAAAGAAAAUAGAGUGUUCUUUUUAACACGGCACUGGGGUGUGUACACACCGCCCGUCACCCUCCUCAAUAAUAUAACUGUUAGUAAUUAACAAACCCCCUAAAUAUCAAGAAGAGGCAAGUCGUAACACGGUAAGCAUACCGGAAGGUGUGCUUGGAUACAAAGUA
This 958-nucleotide non-coding RNA is filed under the name Ischnocnema venancioi. RNAcentral describes it as "12S ribosomal RNA". It matches the Rfam family "Bacterial small subunit ribosomal RNA". The record is from RNAcentral. Lineage: Eukaryota; Metazoa; Chordata; Amphibia; Anura; Brachycephalidae.